Molecule: ribosomal RNA, 493 nt
Filed under: uncultured bacterium
Lineage: Bacteria
Description: partial 16S ribosomal RNA
Rfam family: Bacterial small subunit ribosomal RNA
Source: RNAcentral
AUUGAACGCUGGCGGCAUGCUUUACACAUGCAAGUCGAACGGUAACAGGUUAAGCUGACGAGUGGCGAACGGGUGAGUAAUGCAUCGGAACGUGCCCGAUCGUGGGGGAUAACGCAGCGAAAGCUGCGCUAAUACCGCAUACGAUCUGAGGAUGAAAGCGGGGGACCGUAAGGCCUCGCGCGAUCGGAGCGGCCGAUGUCAGAUUAGGUAGUUGGUGGGGUAAAGGCCCACCAAGCCGACGAUCUGUAGCUGGUCUGAGAGGACGACCAGCCACACUGGGACUGAGACACGGCCCAGACUCCUAAGGGAGGCAGCAGUGGGGAAUUUUGGACAAUGGGCGAAAGCCUGAUCCAGCAAUGCCGCGUGAAGGAAGAAGGCCUUCGGGUUGUAAACUGCUUUUGUACGGAGCGAAAAGGUCCUUUCUAAUACAAGGGGCUCAUGACGGUACCGUAAGAAUAAGCACCGGCUAACUACGUGCCAGCCGCCGCAGUAA